UUGAGUUCUGUAGGUUCAAGAAAAUGUAAGACAAUUUGUACCGCCACCCUGCUAUGUACCAGUACCACACCUGAACAUGGCUCUUGGGCUGAUGUUCAGGAUAUCCAUGGUUUUUCCUCAUAACCUCAAUUUAAGGAAACAAAAUUCAGUAUGAAAUAAUCCGGCUUUAGAAAAUAUCUAGUUACGUUAUUCCUCUUCACUCAAAAUGGCACUGUGAAACAAUCUUUUCCCUUUAGAGAGCGAUGACACAAGAAGUGUGUGGAUUGGCUACCAAUCAUUUAGCUCCAGUCAAUUGGAUUAGUCAAACCAUUUACCUCUUAUAUCGAAUCUAAGUCUUAUACUUGCCAAAGAAAAAAGUAGUAUUCAAAACCAUAUUUACAACCAGAAAAAGAUUGCUGAGAUUUUGCACACAAAAAAUACAUAAUAAGAGCAGGGUUUUUUUCUCGGACGCGCAGGAGAGCUGCACAUGAUUAUAUUAAGAAGCAAGUAGGGAAAGUCCAAAAUGGACUCGGAUACAAGGGAAACCUCCUAAGGAGGUCUAAAACAAAGAUACAAAAAACUAUAAUAAGUGCAGAUUCAGGACAUGUCCAGAUAAGAAAACGGAUAGCCUCGCUAUACCAUACCGGCACACUAAUAACAAAUUAGAUAUGUGACGAUAAGCACAAGCCACGAAAGAGGGCACAGGUAGAUCUCAAAUAUAUGUAAAAGCAACAACCUGUCCAAGUUUGCUUGCUGGGAGGCAAGAAUAUGACUGUGGACAUCUUCCAGUAGCCUUCUGUUUUUGUUAGUAGUCGAGUACUUAC
Molecule: long non-coding RNA, 803 nt
Organism: Zea mays
Lineage: Eukaryota; Viridiplantae; Streptophyta; Magnoliopsida; Poales; Poaceae
Exons: 2
Source: RefSeq, a predicted model, not a curated record